RNAcentral lists this ribosomal RNA (292 nucleotides) under uncultured Alphaproteobacteria bacterium. Its description in RNAcentral is "partial 16S ribosomal RNA". Lineage: Bacteria; Pseudomonadati; Pseudomonadota; Alphaproteobacteria. The record is from RNAcentral.
GGACUACUGGGGUUUCUAAUCCUGUUUGCUCCCCACGCUUUCGCACCUCAGCGUCAAUACUUGUCCAGUCAGUCGCCUUCGCCACUGGUGUUCUUCCGAAUAUCUACGAAUUUCACCUCUACACUCGGAAUUCCACUGACCUCUCCAAGAUUCUAGCUACCUAGUUUCGAAGGCAGUUCCGGGGUUGAGCCCCGGGCUUUCACCCCCGACUUGAAUAGCCGCCUACGUGCGCUUUACGCCCAGUAAUUCCGAACAACGCUAGCUCCCUCCGUAUUACCGCGGCUGCUGGCAC